GCCGUCACACGGAAUCGAG
This 19-nucleotide small nuclear RNA is filed under the name Arabidopsis thaliana (thale cress). Its description in RNAcentral is "snRNA_09385". Lineage: Eukaryota; Viridiplantae; Streptophyta; Magnoliopsida; Brassicales; Brassicaceae. The record is from RNAcentral.